GACGAACGCUGGCGGCGUGCUUAACACAUGCAAGUCGAACGGAAAGGCCCUGCUUUUGUGGGGUGCUCGAGUGGCGAACGGGUGAGUAACACGUGAGUAACCUGCCCUUGACUUUGGGAUAACUUCAGGAAACUGGGGCUAAUACCGGAUAGGAGCUCCUGCUGCAUGGUGGGGGUUGGAAAGUUUCGGCGGUUGGGGAUGGACUCGCGGCUUAUCAGCUUGUUGGUGGGGUAGUGGCUUACCAAGGCUUUGACGGGUAGCCGGCCUGAGAGGGUGACCGGCCACAUUGGGACUGAGAUACGGCCCAGACUCCUACGGGAGGCAUCAGUGGGGAAUAUUGCACAAUGGGCGGAAGCCUGAUGCAGCAACGCCGCGUGCGGGAUGACGGCCUUCGGGUUGUAAACCGCUUUCGCCUGUGACGAAGCGUGAGUGACGGUAAUGGGUAAAGAAGCACCGGCUAACUACGUGC
RNAcentral lists this ribosomal RNA (469 nucleotides) under uncultured bacterium. Its description in RNAcentral is "partial 16S ribosomal RNA". It matches the Rfam family "Bacterial small subunit ribosomal RNA", at positions 28 to 508 of the family's 1533-position model. The record is from RNAcentral.